This 263-nucleotide long non-coding RNA is filed under the name Mytilus galloprovincialis (Mediterranean mussel). Lineage: Eukaryota; Metazoa; Mollusca; Bivalvia; Mytilida; Mytilidae. The record is from RNAcentral.
GCGUUUUAUUAUAUUUUCUCUAUGUGUUUUCAAGGGAUUUUUUUAUAGUUUUUGUCCAGUGUCUGUGAUGUUUUUGUAGAAAAGUUCCUACAUCUUCUAAAAUAUUUUCUUCCAACAUUAUGUUUAUUCUGAUAACUUCAAUUUCAGCCAGCAUAAUUCAAUAUCAUGUAUUAACUGACAUGCUAAAUGCACAGGAGCUUAACAGAAUAAAGCUGUGAUUUAUAAUGAUACUGUUCCACAACAUUUUAGGGUCAGACAAAUUU